GAAGCGAGACGGAGACGUUAAGCGAAACCCAAAAAAGUAAGUCUCAGUUCGGAUUGAAGGCUGAAAUUCGCCUUUAUGAAGCCGGAAUUGCUAGUAAUGGCAGGUCAGCAUACUGCCGUGAAUACGUUCCCGGGCCUUGUACACACCGCCCGUCACACCAUGAGAGUUGGGAAUACCCGAAGCCUGUGAGCUAACUUUUAGAGGCAGCAGUCGAAGGUAGAAUCAAUGAUUGGGGUGAAGUCGUAACAAGGUAGC
Molecule: ribosomal RNA, 255 nt
Filed under: uncultured bacterium
Lineage: Bacteria
Description: partial 16S ribosomal RNA
Rfam family: Bacterial small subunit ribosomal RNA
Source: RNAcentral